GUCAGGAGCAGCCUGUGAUUGGCUCUGCUGGAGAUGGAAAGACCGAGGGAGACAUGGAGCAGGCAGACAUUCAUGAGGCUGCAGCCAGGAAAUUAUAACUUGUUUUAAGUCAAAGAUUACAGUUUAUGCUGCUUAAAAUCCCUCUCCACAUUAAUAUACGAAAAAGCACUUCACAACUGCAGAGAGAGAGUGAGCUUCCCCUCAAACCGAGCUGCACUCGGGGUGGAUUUCUCCAGCAGGUUUUGUAAUGGAAAUGCUGGCAUCCUCUUAAUGAUGAGAUCCUUUCUCUGGGAUGAAAAUGCAGUGACCUAGAAGACUCCAUUUGCAAGUCCUCCUGACCUGCCAGAGAAGAUGCCUGCGGAAUCUAUUUCAGGUGCUGCUGAAAAUGCAGGGAUGUACCGGAGACCUGAGUCCCAGGGAUGAAUCCAGCCUCAGCUCAGAGACGCCGAGCGGUCUCACGCCGUCUUUUCUGCAUAUUCAUAAUGUGUCAGUGUGAAGAGGUCUUUGCUCCCAAAGAAAGGAAAGAGAAAAAAGAAAAGGAAAAGUUCCUUGGAAAGAGUCCUCUCAUCUGAAGGACGUGGCCGCCUUCUCUCCAGCCCCAGAUGUCCUGGUCCAUCUCCUCCCGCCGGCCCCAGAGGCAUCUACUGUCUUGAUAUGUGCAGCCCUAGCUGAGCUGGGCCUCCUUGGGGACCGCAGAAUCAGCACAGCCAUGAACACCUUCUUUGGUUUUUCUCAAUGUUUCUGAGGCUUAAGAAGCCACUGCAUGUGUCAGCGGGAACAGGGUGGAACAAGGUGCAUAAGACUUCCCACCUGGGGAAGGAGCAGCAGCCACCGCCACUCCCAGGCUUCCAGCAUCACUGCAGCAGCUCCAUCACCAUCAGCAUGCGGAGCCCCCUGGCACAUCAUUCAUGGAGGAGGGCAUCUUGGACCUGGAACAGGACAGCACGCCCUUCUCUUCCAAGCCAGCGUCUCCCCACCACAUCCCCAGGGUCCAGCCCUGGGGCUCCGGCUGGGAUUGUGCUGCCUCGACAGCCCCUGAGCCAUGGAGCUGUAAGCGUAUGAAAUGCUCCCUCCUACCCACCCAAGUUUGCUUCCGGUCCUGCUCACCCACGUCACACUCACUCUUCGGGCUCCUGGGGACGCUGCCUAGACAGCCUCGCGUUGCCAGGGUCCUUGCUUGCCACUGAGGCUCUCAGAGAACCUUCAGAAAGGACACAGCCACCAAUCAGGAGCAGUGGGAGGUGCCCCACACAACCGCCCCAGCCCUUCGGGCCCUGGGUGCGGUCACCCACUUUGUUUCUCAAGGGAAAGCAAAGCUCACGGCUCCUGCACCUCUGUCCAGCACGACACGAGUCCUGUGUUUUCUCACCAUCAGAGCCUUACACUGCUUUUCAGUCCUAAGGCCACAUCCGGUUUUUCAUCUUAUUGUACCUUGAAUGAUGGUAUUUUCUUUGUUCACGGGAAGUGCUCGGGCCUUCCGAUGUGAACAGCUAAUGCCCACUACUACCUAUUUCGCUUAUGACACAACGAGCAUGCUCUCUGCAUCUCUGUGCCGACAUCGGAUGUGAAGUUUGACAAGACAGGCGUAAAGGCACAGCUCUGGAGCAUGUCGUCCAACCCCAUAGCCUGGCAGCAGCUCACUGACCGAGUCCUGUGAGCACCCGGGAGCAGCCCUCGACACGGACAUCUCCUUGUUACCGUCAAAUCCACACUUUCUGUAUUUGCCCCACAAAGAUGUCACCAGCAGCUUUGCAAGCACCCUAAUGACAGCCAGGCUCACGGUCUAAAGGACUGAAUGGAAUUCAGUUCCAUCGCUGCAUCUCUCACCACCCUGCCCUGCGUCCACUUCCUUUCCCUGGAUCCGCACAACUGCCUCAUUCCAACCUCACCGCUGGGGAAGAUGUUUCUCCCGUCCUGGUGCCCACAUCUGACAUUGCUGCAUCAACUUCUCUGAAACUUCACCUCCAUCGUGGUGGGACUUGGGACCCAAGACAGAGCUCUCAUCCUCCCUCACACGAGGACAUAACAAGAGCACAGCUGUCUAUGAACUGGAAAUCAAGUCCUCACUAGGCACCAGUUCUGCCAGCGUCUUGACCUCAGAUUUCUCACCUCCAGAAGCAUGAGAAAUAAAUUCCCACUGUUUAUGA
Molecule: long non-coding RNA, 2147 nt
Organism: Chinchilla lanigera (long-tailed chinchilla)
Lineage: Eukaryota; Metazoa; Chordata; Mammalia; Rodentia; Chinchillidae
Exons: 7
Source: RefSeq, a predicted model, not a curated record